Molecule: long non-coding RNA, 9889 nt
Filed under: Elaeis guineensis (African oil palm)
Lineage: Eukaryota; Viridiplantae; Streptophyta; Magnoliopsida; Arecales; Arecaceae
Description: long non-coding RNA (EGUI_LNC005623)
Source: RNAcentral
AAAUAGGAAGGCCAAAUUUGAGUUUUUCUGAACUCAAGGAAUCAUUGAAAGAAUUACUCCAAACUUUGGAGACCAAAAAUAUAUUUUAUUUUAUCAUAUUGAGAUGAGUUUUUUUUUCUUUUAAGCACUUGUGGAUCAGCCUUUCGUUUCGUCACUCGUUCCACGUAGUUUUGGUAUGUGUUGUUCACCCCUUCCAGUGUUUGCCCCUUUGGAUUUUGUUAGGGUUAAGGUUCCUCCUCAUUUCUCUUGGUUUCCGAAUUCCUCCUUUGAACGGGUUUGCCGGGACCCCAUUUUCUCUCUUUUCUGCCCUUCGAUGCAUUUUUUUUCAAUCCCUUGGAAUAUUUAUCAGACAAAUUUUAAUUCCUUGUAAUUUUAUUUUUUGUUCUCUGGUUUAAUCUAAAUUUCAGAUCCUUUUGUAGAUCCCGCGGCUAAAGCAUAGACAGGAGAAGUAAAGGCGGGGGAACAUUUCAGUGACUAAAUCAUCAGAUCUUUCGUUCUUUUUUAAUCUUCCUCUCUUGGUUGUCGAGCCAGUUUUCACUUCCCCCAGCCCCUGGAUUCGUUACCAUAAUUCAUUGGUUUAUAUACUUUUAUGAAUUUAUUUUUUGUUCAAAUACCGUCGGAUAUUAUGAAUUCUUAAAUUGCUCUUCCCUGCUUCUCUUGCGUGUGCAAACAGAUGAUCGGUAUUUCAGCGAUCUCCAUAAAUUAUGUUGGGGUCCGGUGAGAUUGUUUCUCUAAUAGGGACUGCUUUUUUAUGAUUUCUCAACGAGUUUUAUGCGAGGAGGACCUAUUGGUGCUGACAUUUUUGUUUCCUUCUUCUUCACUUGAUAGGUUUUGUGAGAAGGCUAUGCCGAUGGCGAGGAGCUAACAAGGAAUCCCUGUUGCUGCUGCUGAUUUUUUCAAGCUUGACUGGGACUAUGAAUCUGUAUGCAUUACAAUCUCAAUUACUCUUGGUUUUUUCUUUUAUUUUCAUGAUGUCUCGUUUAAUAAACAACCAAAAAGAUUUGUUCUGCUUCACCUGGUUCAGUUCCGAGAUCAAAGCCUCCGGAAGGGAAGCUCGCCUUGACUGGCUUCUCGCUACUGCAAUCAUUGUCCCACGUUGGAACUUUUUGAUGUUGACUUAUGGGCCCUUGUAUUACAAGGCAAUUUCUUGCUUAUGUUGCGUAUGUUUUCCUGGUUUUCUUACUCUUAGUGUGUUAUUGCUGUCCCAUGAUAAGCUAUCUCUCUUGGGCUUAGCAUGGUUCCUACAGGUAAUGUAAAUUAUUGAACCAAGAACGGCCAAUGUACAAUGUCCCAUGCACAGUUAGCAUCUAGAAAUUUUACAGUAGCCUCUUAUGUUAACCCAAAAUUCAUUAAGGGACAAUCAUUUAAUUUCUAUGGUGCUCUAGGAUUGCAUUCUUUUUUUCAUAUAUUGUUUAUCAUCCUCUUGGAGGAGGGGUCUAGUACUUCAUGCCAUGAAUCACAAAUUCCCUACACUCGAGCAAUGAAAAAUCUCUUCCUUUUAGUUAUUGGAUUAGUUGACAACUUUUAUUUCCUUUGUGGUCAAACUUAAUAGUUCAAUUCCAUGAACUAUGAUUCUUCAGUAAAAAGGUUCUCACAGGACAAAUUCUAAAUGUGAAAUAACACCAUGAUUGGGACUUAUGUUCUCAAGGGCUCGACCAUUUGCCUACCACCCAUUUGCAAAUAGAAAGGUCUACCUUUAUGGUUACAUAGAUUAAAAGCUCAUGCAUUCAAGAGCAAAACAUGUUAUUGCAUAAUAUGCUUGCAUGUAGGUUGCUAAUGUCUUUACCAGUCUUUAGAUAAAUCAUAGUUUAUGCCACCUCUUGCUCGGCCCAUUAAAUUUUUAAAAGGAAUGGGAUGAUGGAUGAAGAUAAUUUUGGCGGAUGAAGUGGCGAGGUGCCUCUAAGGUGUCAUGUGAUUAUCAAUAAUGCACCAGUAGCACAUACUUCAAAGUGUUGGUCAAUGAAAGAAUCUCCAACAAAAGAAGAUGAAUUUGAUAGAACUAGAAAUAUUAACAUGAAUGUGUUGUAGAACUAGAAAUAGAGUGAUGAACUAAUUUAUUGGAGAAGGCAUAGUAGACUAAAAAUCAAGAAGAAAGUGAUCAAGAAACAUUUGAGAUGAUGUGAGCAAGUUUGAUGGGAAUUUGAGAAGGUCUUGUUUAGAAGAGGCUAUUGAAUCUGUAUAAGAUUUUUGAAAAGAGGAAAAGGCCUAAGCUAACAUGGAUGGAAGUUGUUAGGAAAAAAUUUAAAGGGCUGGCUACUAACAUGGAGCUAGUCCUAAAUAGGAAUGACUAGCUAAUAAGAAUUUAUGAAGCCCAAAUUAAAUUGCUGGUGCAAGCCUGAUGGUUACACUUACCAUUAAUUCAAUGCAUGCAUUGUGUUGUGUGGCAUCUUAGUUAUGUCUGGUCUUUUCAAAUAGUUAUACUGACCUUCUUGCUCAAGUUUGGAUCAGCUUUUGAGCUUAGUAAGGAGGUGCUUUUGAUUAGGUUGCCAUAAAUACUCAGUGAUAAAGGAUAUGAUAUUGUUAUGAAGGGUCAAAGGUAAUAAAUAUCCUUAUAUUCAGUGUAUUAAAAGAUUGUAAGCAUUAAAUGUGUAGGAGGGGGCACUAUAGAAUAAAUUUAAUGAGAAGUGUACAAGGUUAUAAUCCAAUAAAUAAAGCAUAAAGAAGGCCAUUACCUAGUUAUGGUUCCAGCAAUUGGGGUCCUUGGGGUUGUGGGGGGGGGGGUGUAGAUUGGGAAUAGACAUAAUCUUUGUCCCUUUUUUGGCAAAACAUGGCUGUUCCAGAACUUUAAAUUGUACUACCGCACUUGUCAAACCAAGCCUUUACCAUUGCAUCAAGCAAUAGCCCCUCCAAUGAAUAAUACAUGAAUGUUAAAUAAUAUUUAGUAUGUCAAUGGGAAAUAUCAACUCUGAUAUGUCCGAUAGGGUACUAAAUAAAGGAUGUGAUGCAAAAUCAUUAAUGUAGGCUGUCUGUGGAGUGAAGUCAGUUAUGUUCUAAAACAAUGUUAUAAAACAGAAGAACUGAUAAAAGUAGGAUCUCGGUUUCCUUUUUUCAUAAUAAUGAUAAAAUUGAGUUUCAAGAUCUUUCUUUAAACUAAUCAGAUCCACCCUUACACAACCCCAGUUGGAGUUCUCUUCUAUUUAAAAGAUAGCACAACUUUCCUAAAAUAGACAUGUCUAGUUAAAACAAUCGUAAAAAACUUAAAUUCUUACAAGAGGUGGAUCUAAAUUUUUAUAUUGACUUUGUUUUCAGCCACUUUGCUUUAUUUUUCCCAUUCUGAGAAAUAUGUCCAGUCAAAGUCUUUGUCAAAAAAAAAUUUCAUUUUGAUCAGUCUGUUUUGAGAUCUAAAGGAUGGAAUUAGCCCUUGAUCAUUAAGUGUGUUAUUUCCUUUAGGGGUAGGUGUCAUGUUGUAGAUCUUGAGAAGUUUCUGAUUUCAAAAAAAGAAAAAAAAAGCAUAUUAGUCACAGGCAAGUUAGGGUCCGUAGGAGUUGGUGUGCGAUUUGGCUUCUUGAUGUAGCAAUCUUGCUCCUGUACUCUAUGCAGACUUGCCCAUACUGGUCCAAAUUGAGUUUGGUGAUCCUCUUGAAUUAGGUCAUAAGAGAGUAGCGUAUACAUGAAUGGGCAUUGAGGUCAAAUUCUAGUGAAUGUAAAAUAGAUAGUCAUACUAUGUUAGUAUAAUGCAGUUGGGUCAUAAAAGGAGCAGCAUGUGGAUGAAGAGACAUUGAAAUCAGAUUAAUUUGGGAAUAAACAAUGAAGCAAGACAUAUAUAAUUCUUUUCCAUCUUAGUUUUAACAAUCUCACCAACUCCAGCUCGAUGCCUUAGUAUAUCUCUGUAGAGGCUUGUGUAUCUUGAGUUUCUAUGCUUGGACCACCAAGUUCUUGAGAAGACAUUCCUUCAUAUGGUGGGAAGAUGCUUGAUGCCUUCCACCAAGUUCUGUGCAAUCCAUCAGCAUUAAUUGAAGCCCUCAUAUUUUCUAUGUUCACAAGGCUAUCACCAGCAUAUGAGGAUCCACCAAUUGGCACAUCCCUUUUGAAUGUAGAGGAGGUUAAAUCUUUCUUGUCCUAGUGUUUGCUCCACAACAAUUCUUGUCCAAAUGGAAUAUCUGGAACCCAUUAUUUUCAGCUCAUCCCAGUUUUUAUAGAUAAAGAUAGCAGGGAAUAUCAAGAGAACUGAAGUUGUAGUAAUUCCCGUGAUGAGGAAGAGUCCACCAAAGUUGUGGAACUUUAGACUCUGUGAGCCUAUGGUGUUGUCUUGAUUUUGGCAAGUAUUUUCGUAACCAAUCCAUUUCCUCUCUAUUUCCACCAUUUUAUCCCCUUGUGUUACAUUUAAGACUGCCCUUGAUACGUCAGGGACUAAUGGGGAACCUUUGGCAAAGACCUGUGAAACAGAUAAAAGUAAGAAUAUCUCCAUAAUAUGUUCAUCUGUGAUAAAAGAUUCAAGCUUCCUCCAGAGCAGAAACAAUGUAUAGCUUGCAUGUAUAAACAAGGAUUUUGAGAACCUGAAAAAGUUAAAUUUUAAGAUUUCAAAUAUCCUUGUUGAGUUAUGAAGAGAGGGAAGAGGGAUAACAUACAAAUCCAAACCCAGCAGUCCUGUAGACUGGUCCAACCAUUGUGUAUCCGCUACAGUGUUCUGCAAGGAAGCUCUUGACGUAUGGGAUCUCAUGGAAGAUAGCAGAUACACCAUUAUUGUGGCUCCCUUUGGAGAGUGCCUCUGCAUAUUGAUCAGAACUUCCCAAGUCUCUAAGCUUGGACUCAUCAAAGUGGAGCUGCAUCAGCAGCUCUUUCACAAAGGAACCCCGAUGAUAGCCAACAUAGUCACCAUUUUUUAUAAGCUGUUUUAUGUCCGUAACAGUUGGCUGGAGCUGUUCAACAGUCAACAUGGAGGUCAAACUGGCUGUGUAACUUGAUGCGAGGAUCAGCACAACAAAUACCCAUAUGAUUAGUAUGAUCUUUGAUAAGUUGCUCUCCACUUUUCUCCUGAAACCAUAGUAAAAAUAUUACUCUUUCUCGAUCAUGGCUGUGGUUGCCUGAUCUUGGCAUUAGAUAGUUAAGGGGUAAUUACUUAACUAUGAUCAAAAACAAGUGUUGAGAAAGCAAAAUAGAAGAUGGUUCCAAGUUGUUGGGACGUAUGGCCCCGAAAUUCUUCUUUGAUUCAAUGCUCCACCACCCACACCACAAAUCCUGUAAAGAAAAAGAAGGCCAAGGUCCCUAGCCAGAGGUCCACUGUGAGUGGCUUCAAGAAGAUCCAUGCAUUCUUCCUUGCAUCCUCUUUGACUGGAACAAUCAUAACCACUCCUGAUUCUGUGUAUGGCAAUGUAAAAUCCACAUACAACGAACGGUUGGCUAUAAUUGUGACGUCUCCUGCCACAGCAUCAUAAUUCUGUUGAACCCAAAUGUGGUCAGUAACUUAUAUACAGGCACUGUAGCAAUAGCAUUUAAAAACAAUAAUUCAGUCAGGUGAUUUCAUUGUGUGAUUUUUUUUUUUUGUGGGGGGGUGGGGUGUGGAAUUGGGAGAUGUGGAAUGGUUUGGAAUUGUGUCAACCUUGAUUUUCUUAGGGAUUCUUAAAAUUUGAAAGAGAUUGUUAGUUCUUCUGCAAAAUUACAAACUUACUUGGUUGUGCUGGAGAAUCUUGUUAACGCUAAUUUCACCUUGUUUUCUCCAAGAACAAAUCAUGAUUUUAUACUUGAGUUUCAUCAAAAAUUAGUUGGAAGUUUGGAACUAGAAACUUCUGGUUCAUCUUUUUAAAGUCAUAAUAUUUCUCUUCAGUUGUUGCUUCUUCUUCCUCUAUUGUUAGUUUUUGACCACUCACACACUUUAUUCAAUUUAACUUCCUUGCCUACAUACCUGAAGGCAGACCUGGUAUGUAAGUUCAUCAUAUGAUCCUGCAGUGUCCCCUCUGGCAUUUUCAUAAUGAACAUACUCGUAAGGGAUUGCAUAUGGCAAAGCUUGCUUCACAGAUCAAAGACAUCAAUGCAGUACCCACUCACUGCUGUGGCAUUAGUGAGAGGAUUCCAUUCCACCUUUACAAACUCAUGAAACCCAUCUUUUACUGGGACCCCUAUCUUCAACUUUUUUUCACCUGUUGGGAUUUCCCACCCUUUGGGCACUAUGGUUGAUUCUCCAGGCUAGAAAGUGGUGCUAAGUUCAGUCAUGGAAGUUGAAUAUGUUCUGCUGAUUGGAUUCCGUGUCCUUGAGAUCCCAUGUGCUGGUGUCCAGAAACCAAUCACUCUUUCCCCUUUCCCAAUUACAUUAAUUAUUUGAAAGGUGGAUGAUUGUGAUUUCCCAUCAAUGAGACAGAGUUCCCCACUAAGGCCAUCGAAUUUGGUAUCUCGGAUUGCCUUGAGUAGACCUGGACCUGUCUCAGAGAAUUCUAACAUAUCCAAGAUGCUCGAAUUGUUGGUGAUCUGGGGUCGCAAAAAGGUAGAAUUUGUGAUCCCAACACUCUCUGCAGCCAUUGCUAGUGCACAAACUGUAUCAUAUGCCCACAGGGCAAAAAUGCUAAGUUCUGCUUUCUCAAUAUCAGGAUGCUCCUGCUGGAAUUUUCUUUUCCAUCGAAUCGUGAAUUCAUUCAGCUUUCUUGUAUUUGGUACAUAAGGCCUGACUCCUAAUAGUCCUUGCAUCGAGUCAAUUAUAGAUUGGUCAAAGGAAUUUAAUAGAUUUGUUACUCCAUCUGUUAUAAUCCACACAUAGCCUUCUGUCAUCAUUCCUGCCUCAUUUGCCUUUAGAAAGAAAUUGGUGCCAAGAAACGGUGCCAUGUGCACAAUGAAGACCCUUGUUUGCAUGGUUUGUAGUUUGUAUAACUCCCCCAAUAUCUGGUCAUCGGUUGCUGACAGAGGAAUGACACUGUGGUAGGGUACAUAAGCAUCAAUCUCUUGUAGGGCGUCGAUGAGAUAUGGCACGGUGCCUGCACUAUAAUCAGUGUGCUCAUAGACAAGGGUGACUCUCCGCCAUCCAAGGGCCUUAAUAAUUGAGGCUAUAGAAUUCACCUGAGAAGAGUCAUUAAAUGCUGUACGCACAAAAUAUGUUGCACGGGCAGGGGAGACAGAAGGGCUUGUUGCUGAAAAAGAAACAAUAGGGACUUGAAUCUUGUUCCCAAGAUCUGAUAGGAACACAGCCUGAGAAGAUUUUUGGGGACCUAUGAUUGCCUGCACUCUGACAUUGCUUAACAACUUGAGAGCUGCAUGCACGUGAAGAAAAUAAGUUUAGAAGUCAUCCUGGUAAGUGUUUAGUUCUUGAAGGAAGGUCCAUGACUUGACCGCUGGCUAUUUUGGUUAAAGUCCACCGAAGCUUAAAAUUGAUGAUUGCUUAUUUAUGAUAUCAGCAAAGUUUAAAUUCUCCUACUUUUUGUUUCUUGUGGUGUCUAAAUCAUGACCAGCAAGAAGUCUAUUAUUUCUGUGUCAUUUUGUAGCUUCUAAAUUGGAUGACCAUCCUUUGUCAUUAGAUUGUCCAAAUAGAUGGUGAAGAGCUGUCAUGGGGUCAGAUGGUAAGGCAUAAUUGAAUUGUGUGCAGUCUACACAUUAUUUCCAGCUUAUGGAUCAUACGUUAUACCUGUAAGGGCAUUUGCUGCAGUCCUAACUGCAGUUGGUAGCACAAACAUUUCAUGAUCAGACAGGUAUUCAUAUAUGAUGUGCAUUGCUGCAUUCUGCUUAGGUAUAUGAUGUCGACAUGGUUGAUUAUAUAAUCAUUAGAGUGUCUACUGGUCCAUGCUGUUUGGAAAUGUGCUAUAUCUAUAUAGAUAUCGAAGACCUGAUUAAAGGUUGGAAACAUGACGUUUUUCCUUCUUUUUCCUCUCAAGAGAUGAUUUCUACGUUACGAUGAACUGUUUUAUUAAGUUCUAGGCUGGUUCCUGUUAAUUUUAGUUUGUUCUCCUUCUGGUGUGCUUAGUCUGUUCUUGCUCUUAUGCCUUUGUGAAUUCCUCAUGAAUUGUUGGUUUGUCAUUUUUUUUUUUUCAACUGUUGUUAUUCUUUUUUUUGUUGCUAUAGUGCUCCCUAUUUCCUGUGUGUUAACUGAUGCUGUUAUUCAUGCUCAAGUGUUUGCACUCCAUGCGUUUAUUUGGUAAUUAGUCUCUGAGCCAUUCAGGUCUGUCAAUAGUUUUCUCCACUGUUAAGGCAAGCUUCCUCUGUGCAUUCCUAAGAUUAUUCUCACUUUCUCAGUUAUGUUCAUGAUGGAUCCAAUGAUUUGAUUACAGCAGGUUAGUGUUGUGAUUCAUAAUAUUGGAUGUAAUCAAUGUUUGGAUUAAAAAAUAAGAACAUCUUCAAGUUAUUGGACUAAUAAACCUGAAGACAUAUGGUUAUGGUCCAUGAUAAAGUGAUACAACUUUCAAUGCUUGUACCUAAUAUAACAGGGUAUUAAAAGAUUUCAGAGAAAGCAAUUCAACAGAUUUCAGAUAUAUAUAUAUUUUGCAUUCCAGAUGAAUUUGUUUAGUCCUGGGUUCUAUCUUAACUGUCUUAAUGACUAAUUGUUCCUGAACAACCUUCCGACAACAUUCAAUCAAGUAACAAAAGAGCAUUCAAUCAAAAAGAAUAUUUCUUGACCCUGUCGUCUCCUCUCUUCUCUCUGGGACCACAGGCCUGCUUGGCAUUUGUUUUUUUUUCCUCUAUUUUAAAAAUAAAAUCACAAAAACUGAGAUAAAAUCUUGUGGGGUUGUGUUACUUUUUUUUUUAAUAUUUUUUAUUAUUUUUGAAAAAAAUGAAAAUAAGAAAUUUUUAUUUUCAAUAUUUAAAAAAAAUAAUUAAUAUUUGCAUCAUCACCUUCACCACCAUUAUAGUUAUCUAGGCCACAAUCACAAUCGUUACCUCGCCUUUGCUAUUGCCCCUCCACCAUAUUGUAGAUGCUAUCGUCAUUGGUGCUAUACCAUAAUCAUGACCGUCAUUACCUUCAUUAUAUGGUUGGCACCUUUAUCACCACCAUAUCCACCAUUGCCUCCACCAAACCAUCAUUAUUAUUGCCAUCAUUUCUGCCACAUCAUCAAUGGUCUUGUCUCAUUGUAGCCUCUUGUAUUAUCUAGUUGUUUUUUUGGCCACGAGCAUCAUUGGGCCUACACUGUCUUCAUCACUAUUAUCAUUAUCUCCGUCGUCAUUAUCAUAUUUAUACUUAAAUAUAAAUGACUAUAUCAAAUACAUUAUUUUUUAUAAUUAAAAAAUAAAAAUAAAAAUUAAUGUUUUUAGAGGAAAAAAAUGAGAGUGAUGCUAAAGAAUAUCUACGGAGUUCUCUUUAUUAAUUUGGACUGCAUAUUAGAAGUGGUGAGGCUAAGUUAGGUUGCAACUUGUGUGGGGUUCUUAAAUGUUCCCUUCCAAUUUUGCAUGCCAAACCAAAGCUUGAUGGACAGAUUGUGUUCAGAGAGGUUCAGAGAGGAGAUCUGAGAGAAGAUACCAGAAUGAUAACUCAAGGGAAAAUGUAAAACGAUCUAUCAUCCAAGUACCUGCAGAGGUGGCUCCAAUGGCGUUCUUUUUGCCAUCCUCGGUAUGGAGGACCAACCUUGUGGUGUAGUUACUGUUUGCAGCAUAGAAAUCAUUGAUUGCCAUUGAGAUGCUUGUCUGGCUCAUCUUUCCAACCAGUGUUCCUGUGUCGAGGAUUAGACCAACAUGGAAUGAGACUAUCAUAGUACUUCCGUUGCCAUUCUGAGCCUUUGCUAUGGAAGACAAAAGGAGAAAGAAGAGAAGUGUUGCCCUCUUCAUCAGAAGCUGCCUUGCAAAGGAUCAACGAGGAGGAAGAAGAGUUUGGGAUGGUUGAGUUAGGAGAACUGGUGUAAAUAUAUGAACAUUUGACUUUGAUUAUGUUCACCUUGUGGUGAGUAUAAGGUAUCCAGUCUUUUGAACAGAAUGCACAUAAAGCUUCUAACUUUUUUUUUUGGUAAGAAACAUAAAGCUUCUAAAUGAAAGCCAAUCUAUU